UACGUAGGGUGCAAGCGUUGUUCGGAAUCACUGGGCGUAAAGCGCGUGUAGGCGGCUUGGCAAGUCGGGUGUGAAAGCCCGGAGCUCAACUCCGGAACUGCAUUCGAAACUGCCUCGCUCGAGUCCCGGAGAGGGUGGUGGAAUUCCCGGUGUAGAGGUGAAAUUCGUAGAUAUCGGGAGGAACACCAGUGGCGAAGGCGGCCACCUGGACGGUGACUGACGCUGAGACGCGAAAGCGUGAGGAGCAAACAGG
Molecule: ribosomal RNA, 253 nt
Filed under: uncultured bacterium
Lineage: Bacteria
Description: partial 16S ribosomal RNA
Rfam family: Bacterial small subunit ribosomal RNA
Source: RNAcentral